Molecule: ribosomal RNA, 439 nt
Filed under: uncultured bacterium
Lineage: Bacteria
Description: partial 16S ribosomal RNA
Rfam family: Bacterial small subunit ribosomal RNA
Source: RNAcentral
CUACGGGGGGCUGCAGUGAGGAAUAUUGCACAAUGGGGGGAACCCUGAUGCAGCAACACCGCGUGGAGGAUGACGCAUUUCGGUGUGUAAACUCCUUUUAUAUAUCAAGAAAAUGACGGUAGCAUAUGAAUAAGCACCGGCUAACUCCGUGCCAGCAGCCGCGGUAAUACGGAGGGUGCAAGCGUUACUCGGAAUCACUGGGCGUAAAGGAAGCGUAGGCGGGUUGGAAGGUCAGGUGUGAAAUCCUACAGCUUAACUGUAGAACUGCACUUGAAACUUCUAAUCUAGAGUAUGGGAGGGGGAGAUGGAAUUAGUGGUGUAGGGGUAAAAUCCGUAGAUAUCACUAGGAAUACCUAAAGCGAAGGCGAUCUCCUGGAACAUUACUGACGCUAAGGCGUGAAAGCGUGGGGAGCAAACAGGAUUAGAUACCCCAGUAGUC